Molecule: long non-coding RNA, 534 nt
Filed under: Gallus gallus (chicken)
Lineage: Eukaryota; Metazoa; Chordata; Aves; Galliformes; Phasianidae
Source: RNAcentral
CGCUGAUCUCCGGAAAAUCCCUUCUGUUGCGAGAGCAUGCUCCUGCAAAUGAGCAAUGGUCUCUCUGACCACCAGGGGAACAGGAGACUGAUCAGGGCUCUUCUCCCGCAGGUGUUGGAGCGAGACUCCAAACUGCUGGUUUGGCAGUGGUGGGCGUGGGGGUGUUGGCUUCUGGGGCACUUGCGAAGGUUUCUGGAGGGAUCUGAGAUAUUCAUCAUACUUCAGCACUUGACUCGGAAUCCCCAACUGUUCCAGCUUUACAUACUCCUCCAGCUCACUAAGGAAGUUCACAUAAAAAAUCUUUCGUCCAAACUUAAAGCUGAUCAGAGGCUUGAACAGAAUCAGAAGGGUCUUGAUGAACAUGGUUGGAUGCACAAUAUACAAGGCUUUGAUGUUCUUCUUGUAUUUGCGAUCAAAUUCCCUGUAGGCAUCCCGCAGCCAGCUCAGGGAUGGCUUGUUCUCACUAGUCAGGCCAUGGUGUAGAUAUACCAGUGUGUAAUCACUUUCCACAUACUGGUCCAGUGUGAAUUUCAG